Molecule: ribosomal RNA, 523 nt
Filed under: uncultured bacterium
Lineage: Bacteria
Description: bacterial SSU rRNA
Rfam family: Bacterial small subunit ribosomal RNA
Source: RNAcentral
UCCUGGCUUAGGAUGAACGCUGGCGGCGUGCCUAACACAUGCAAGUCGAACGGAGAUUAGACGCUGACGAGGUUUCGGCCAAAUCUUGUUAAUCUUAGUGGCGGACGGGUGAGUAACGCGUGGGCAACCUGCCUCAUACCGGGGGGACAGCAGCUGGAAACGGCUGAUAAUACCGCAUAAGCGCACAGAGUCGCAUGACUCAGUGUGAAAAACUCCGGUGGUAUGAGAUGGGGCCCGCGUCAGAUUAGCCAGUUGGCAGGGUAACGGCCUACCAAAGCGACGAUCUGUAGCCGGCCUGAGAGGGCGGACGGCCACAUUGGGACUGAGACACGGCCCAAACUCCUACGGGAGGCAGCAGGUGGGGGAUAUUGCACAAUGGGGGAAACCCUGAUGCAGCGACGCCGCCGUGAGUGAAGAAGUAUUUCGGUAUGUAAAGCUCUAUCAGCAGGGAAGAAACGGCCCCUUAAGGGGAGAUGACGGUACCUGACUAAGAGGCCCCGGCUAACUACGUGCCAGCAGCAGC